AGCAUAUCAAUAAGCGGAGGAAAAGAAACCAACAGGGAUUGCCUCAGUAACGGCGAGUGAAGCGGCAACAGCUCAAAUUUGAAAUCUGGCCGCAAGGUCCGAGUUGUAAUUUGCAGAGGAUGCUUUUGGCGAGGUGCCUUCCGAGUUCCCUGGAACGGGACGCCAUAGAGGGUGAGAGCCCCGUACGGUAGUGUCACCGAGCCUAUGUAAAGCUCCUUCGACGAGUCGAGUAGUUUGGGAAUGCUGCUCUAAAUGGGAGGUGUACGUCUUCUAAAGCUAAAUACCGGCCAGAGACCGAUAGCGCACAAGUAGAGUGAUCGAAAGAUGAAAAGCACUUUGAAAAGAGGGUUAAAAAGUACGUGAAAUUGUUGAAAGGGAAGCAUUCAUGACCAGACUUGGGCUUGGUUGAACAUCCGGCGUUCUCGCCGGUGCACUCUGCCAGUCCAGGCCAGCAUCAGUUUGCCCCGGGGGACAAAGGUAGCGGGAAUGUGGCUCCCCACGGGGAGUGUUAUAGCCCGUUGCGUAAUGCCCUGGGGCGGACUGAGGAACGCGCUUCGGCACGGAUGCUGGCGUAAUGGUCAUCAAUGACCCGUCUUGAAACACGGACCAAGGAGUCGUCUUCGUAUGCGAGUGUUCGGGUGUCAAACCCCUACGCGUAAUGAAAGUGAACGUAGGUGAGAGCUUCGGCGCAUCACCGACCGAUCCUGAUGUUCUCGGAUGGAUUUGAGUAAGAGCAUACGGGGCCGGACCCGAAAGAAGGUGAACUAUGCCUGUGUAGGGUGAAGCCAGAGGAAACUCUGGUGGAGGCUCGCAGCGGUUCUGACGUGCAAAUCGAUCGUCAAACAUGGGCAUGGGGGCGAAAGACUAAUCGAACCUUCUAGUAGCUGGUUUCCGCCGA
Molecule: ribosomal RNA, 898 nt
Filed under: Sarocladium implicatum
Lineage: Eukaryota; Fungi; Ascomycota; Sordariomycetes; Hypocreales; Sarocladiaceae
Description: LSU rRNA
Rfam family: Eukaryotic large subunit ribosomal RNA
Source: RNAcentral